This 520-nucleotide ribosomal RNA is filed under the name fungal sp. RNAcentral describes it as "eukaryotic LSU rRNA". The stretch from base 173 to 326 matches the Rfam family "5.8S ribosomal RNA". Lineage: Eukaryota; Fungi. The record is from RNAcentral.
AAGGAUCAUUAUCAAUUUUACAGUCCUGGGAUGGGGGUAAAAACUCCAUCCCAUGCUGUUCAACCCUUUGUCUUUUGCGUACUGUAUGUUUCCUCGGCGGGUUCGCCCGCCGAUAGGACACUUCAAAACCUUUUGUAAUUGCAAUCAGCGUCAGAAAAACUAUAAUAGUUACAACUUUCAACAACGGAUCUCUUGGUUCUGGCAUCGAUGAAGAACGCAGCGAAAUGCGAAAAGUAGUGUGAAUUGCAGAAUUCAGUGAAUCAUCGAAUCUUUGAACGCACAUUGCGCCCCUUGGUAUUCCAUGGGGCAUGCCUGUUCGAGCGUCAUUUGUACCCUCAAGCUCUGCUUGGUGUUGGGUGUUUGUCCCGCCUUCGCGCGUGGACUCGCCUUAAAGUGAUUGGCAGCCGGAAUAAUUCUGGGGAACGCAGCACAACUGCAGCCUCCAUUUUACGCCGAGCGUCCAGUAAGCCUUUUUUCAACGUUUGACCUCGGAUCAGGUAGGGAUACCCGCUGAACUUAA